UCCAGACUCCUACGGGAGGCAGCAGUGAGGAAUAUUGGUCAAUGGCCGCAGGGCUGAACCAGCCAAGUCGCGUGAGGGAUGACGGUCCUAUGGAUUGUAAACCUCUUUUGUCAGGGAGCAAAGGGCGCCACGUGUGGCGUUUUGCGAGUACCUGAAGAAAAAGCAUCGGCUAACUCCGUGCCAGCAGCCGCGGUAAUACGGAGGAUGCGAGCGUUAUCCGGAUUUAUUGGGUUUAAAGGGUGCGUAGGCGGAAGGUUAAGUCAGCGGUCAAAUGUCGGUGCUCAACACCGGCCUGCCGUUGAAACUGGUCUUCUUGAGUGAGCGAGAAGUAUGCGGAAUGCGUGGUGUAGCGGUGAAAUGCAUAGAUAUCACGCAGAACUCCGAUUGCGAAGGCAGCAUACCGGCGCUCAACUGACGCUGAGGCACGAAAGCGUGGGGAUCGAACAGGAUUAGAUACCCUGGUAGA
This 466-nucleotide ribosomal RNA is filed under the name uncultured bacterium. Its description in RNAcentral is "bacterial SSU rRNA". It matches the Rfam family "Bacterial small subunit ribosomal RNA", at positions 330 to 794 of the family's 1533-position model. The record is from RNAcentral.